AGAUCCAUUUUCUGCCACCGAAUACAUUAGCAUGGGAUAAUGGAAUAGGACCCUGUCCUCCUAUUUUCAGUUGGUUUUGGCAGCGCGAGGACUAGGGUAAUGAUUAAUAGGGAUAGUUGGGGGCAUUAAUAUUUAAUUGUCAGAGGUGAAAUUCUUGGAUUUAUGAAAGAUUAACUUCUGCGAAAGCAUCUGCCAAGGAUGUUUUCAUUAAUCAAGAACGAAAGUUAGGGGAUCGAAGACGAUCAGAUACCGUCGUAGUCUUAACCAUAAACGAUGCCGACCAGCGAUUAGGAGACGUUGAAUACAAAACACCACCAUCGGUGGGGCCGUCCUUGGUGUCGUCGUCCUUUCCGGGGGCGGGGGGGGAGGGCUGAUUCCCGUGGUGGCGGCGAUUGAUGCCUCC
RNAcentral lists this ribosomal RNA (403 nucleotides) under Acanthamoeba polyphaga. RNAcentral describes it as "SSU rRNA". It matches the Rfam family "Eukaryotic small subunit ribosomal RNA", at positions 782 to 1080 of the family's 1831-position model. The record is from RNAcentral. Lineage: Eukaryota; Discosea; Longamoebia; Acanthamoebidae.